Molecule: unclassified non-coding RNA, 3378 nt
Filed under: Hevea brasiliensis (rubber tree)
Lineage: Eukaryota; Viridiplantae; Streptophyta; Magnoliopsida; Malpighiales; Euphorbiaceae
Source: RNAcentral
GAAUUUUUGAAGGUUUUUUUUAUUAUUAUAUUUUUGAAUUUAAUAUGAAUAAAAUUUAGAAGCUUUGAGAAGUCAAAGGAACAAAUCAAUAGCUGGUUCUGGAAGAAGAAAAAGGUGGAAAGAUUAGUUAAUCAUUUAGUUAGUUACAAAUGUUAUUCAGUUAGUUGUUUCUUACUUCAGUGAAAGACUUAUAAGAACCAAUGGAUGCAAUGAUGCUUCAUGCUUUUGAUCUGACUAGUAAAACUGAAUCUCCUGUUCUUUCAUUCUUCAUUUGCAUAAACACUUUCUCACACUUUCUAUCUCUUUCUUGCACACCGAACAUAUACAAAGAUUUAUUGUUAUGAAAAAUUAGAGUAUAAAUCAGUGACUUUUGGCUCCGGGAACUCAAUUUGUUUCUUGGGUUUAUUUAUAAUUUAUAGUUUUUCACAAACAGAAAAAUAAAAAAUAAUAGGGAUUUUUUUUCCGGUUUUUUAGUGGUGAAGCAAACUAAUAAAUAGAUGCGUGUAUGUAUAUACAUAUAUAAAUAUAUGCGUUGGCUAUGAUGAACGCAUGUUUUUGGCUUGCUGUUACGCGAUAGAUUUUUGGACCAUUGUACAGCUGUUUAUAUGUUAGUAUUUUCUUAAUUCUGGUGAUUAUGAAUGGAUGUAAUAUGUUGUUUUUAUUGUCUUUAAUGCUAUUUUGAAAUUAACCCUGGAAGGACUUGCUUGGCAAUGAAAUUUCAUUUUAUUUUCUGAAAUUUGAGGCGUAUAUGUUUGAAGGAUCUCUUUUGGUUAAUUAAAAAAUGAAUGUAUUUGGCUUUCUGCUUAUGAUCACCACUUAGUUGAUUUGAAAAUAGGUUAUUAGCUGUUGUGAAUCAAGAUUUUUUUUAGCCAAUCUAUGAAAAAAUUCAUGUGAUGUGAUUUACUUGCUGUGAAUAAUAAGGUUGUAUUUUGGUUUAUGCAUGAAGAUGAACUAUUGUAAUUUUUUCCCCUAUCCUAAUGAAUUAAAAAUUGCAUAUUUUUAUCCUAUGUUGCUGCUUUAGGUUCACAAUUGCUCAUAUAUGGCCAUGUUAAGGGUUUGACUGUGCCUUGAACUUGAGAUCAGUCUUUUUUGCUAGUUCCCACAUAUUGGUACGUAAUUUGAGUAGCACUGAAGUAGUUCUCAGGAAUUAACUUUUCAAUUUGGAAUUGACAGAUGCUUUAAUACCAGCCUGUGAGUUUUUGAAGUUGUGGUGACCCAGUUGAGAUCUUUGAGGGAUACUUGAAGCAAUUAUUAAAUCAUGGAUACUUUAUUGAAAACACAUAACAAGCUUGAAUUCCUGCCUCAACUUCAUGUGUUCCCAGAGAAAGCGAGUAAUGUGGGCUCUAUGAAGCUUCGAAACCCAGAGCUUAGGUUUUGUCUGCAUAAGUCUUAUAAAAAAAGGGUAAGAAAUGGUUGUGUUAAGGCUACCAGUAGUACUCUUUUGGAGCUUGUACCAGAGACCAAGAAGGAAAAUCUUGAAUUUGACCUGCCUAUGUGUGACCCAUCAAAAGGACUCGUGGUUGACCUUGCAGUUGUGGGUGGUGGCCCUGCAGGGCUUGCAGUUGCACAACAAGUCUCGAAGGCAGGGCUUUCUGUUUGUUUGAUCGACCCAUCUCCCAAAUUGAUUUGGCCUAAUAAUUAUGGUGUUUGGGUGGAUGAAUUUGAGGCCAUGGAUUUGCUUGAUUGUCUUGAUACCACCUGGUCUGGUGCUGUGGUCUACAUUGAUGACAAAACAAAGAAAGAUCUUGGUAGACCGUAUGGUAGGGUUAAUAGGAAGCAGCUAAAGUCAAAAAUGCUACAAAAAUGCCUAUCCAAUGGUGUUAAGUUUCAUCAAGCUAAAGUUGUCAAGGUUGUUCAUGAGGAAUCUGAAUCCUUAUUGAUUUGCAAUGAUGGUGUUACAAUACAUGCUGCUGUGGUGCUUGAUGCAACUGGCUUUUCUAGAUGCCUUGUUCAGUAUGAUAAGCCAUAUAAUCCAGGUUAUCAAGUGGCUUAUGGAAUUUUAGCCGAGGUAGAAGAGCACCCAUUUGACAUAGAUAAGAUGGUUUUUAUGGAUUGGAGAGAUUCACAUUUGGAUAAUAAUUUGGAGGUAAAAGAGAGAAAUAGAAAGAUCCCUACUUUUUUAUAUGCAAUGCCCUUUUCUUCAGGGAGAAUAUUUCUCGAAGAAACUUCUCUAGUUGCUCGGCCUGGAGUACCCAUGGAAGAUAUCCAGGAAAGGAUGGUGGCUAGAUUAAGGCACCUAGGCAUAAAAGUGAAAAGUAUUGAAGAAGACGAGCGUUGUGUCAUCCCAAUGGGUGGUCCCCUUCCCGUCCUGCCUCAAAGAGUUGUUGGAAUUGGUGGUACAGCUGGCAUGGUUCACCCUUCAACUGGGUAUAUGGUAGCGAGAACUCUAGCUGCAGCUCCAAUAGUUGCCAAUUCCAUAGUCCAGUACCUUGGUUCUGGUAGAGGCCUCUCAGGGAAUGAAUUGGCAGCAGAAGUUUGGAAAGAUUUAUGGCCCAUACAGAGGAGGAGACAAAGGGAGUUCUUCUGUUUUGGAAUGGAUAUUCUGUUGAAGCUUGAUUUACAAGCCACAAGAAGGUUUUUUGAUGCAUUCUUUGACCUGGAACCUCAUUAUUGGCAUGGUUUUUUGUCGUCUCGACUAUUUCUCCCUGAGCUUAUAUUUUUUGGUCUUUCAUUGUUUUCCCAUGCUUCUAAUACUUCCAGGAUAGAGAUUAUGACAAAGGGUACUCUUCCUUUGGUUUACAUGAUCAACAAUUUAGUACAAGAUAGAGAAUAGAUGGCUAGGAUUCCAUUUGUUGUCUUCUAAUUUUGUUGAAAACUGCAUCUUGAAAAUUUAUAUGCUGUUGUUGCCCUUAAUUGUUGAUAGAAAACAAAUCACUUCUUGUAUUGUUAUCUUAAUUACAGGUUUGAGAAUAUUGGUUGCUAUCUAUCUUUUCCACAUUGCUGUUUGGCUUAGCAUCCGUAAAAUGAAAAUUGAUGCUUUUGAAGAUGUAUGAUAUGAUUCAAAUAAAUUCAAAAGAGAGGUUUAAUUGAAUCCACACUUUCAUCUAUUAUAUUCAAAAUAAUACAAUUUAUUCACCUUUCGAGAAGGUACAUAUAUUGAGCCAGCCUACAUAAUUUUAAAACAUCAAACUAUAUAAUAAAUGAAAAUAAGAAAAGUUCUUUACCCUCAUUUAUUAUGCUAACAAGUUGACAUCUGUCUCAGCCAAGAUGAAAACAAUGGAAAUGUCAUUAUUCAGGCAAUGGGAAUUGCCCAGUAUCCACAGAAGCACCUUUCGCUAACAACUUUUAGAAGGGAGUGAGAAAUAAGCCUGAACAGCAGAGAAAAAAAGUCCAAGCAAGGCACCAAGAAAAGCUAGGAAAGUCCAGGGACUACUGAAA